This 329-nucleotide ribosomal RNA is filed under the name uncultured eukaryote. Its description in RNAcentral is "partial 18S ribosomal RNA". It matches the Rfam family "Eukaryotic small subunit ribosomal RNA", at positions 1470 to 1796 of the family's 1831-position model. The record is from RNAcentral.
CCCUUAGAUGUUCUGGGCCGCACGCGCGCUACACUGACGAUGGCAACGAGUUUUUCCUUCGCCGAAAGGUGUGGGUAAUCUUUUGAAACAUCGUCGUGCUGGGGAUAGAUCAUUGCAAUUUUUGAUCUUGAACGAGGAAUUCCUAGUAAGCGCGAGUCAUCAGCUCGCGUUGAUUACGUCCCUGCCCUUUGUACACACCGCCCGUCGCUACUACCGAUUGAAUGGUGUAGUGAGGACUCCUGAUUGGCGCCGCCGCCCCGGCAACGGAGCAGCGGACUGCCGAAAAGUUGUUCAAACUUGAUCAUUUAGAGGAAGUAAAAGUCGUAACA